RNAcentral lists this transfer RNA (96 nucleotides) under Maritimibacter alkaliphilus HTCC2654. Its description in RNAcentral is "tRNA-Gly". Lineage: Bacteria; Pseudomonadati; Pseudomonadota; Alphaproteobacteria; Rhodobacterales; Roseobacteraceae. The record is from RNAcentral.
GCGUGGCUUGUGGGGGCCUUCACGCGGGUCAUUCCCGUUCGCCUAUCAGCUUCCCAUCGCCACCGCGAUGCUGGUGCUCGUGUUGCUGGUCGCGUU